This is a non-coding RNA of Odocoileus virginianus texanus, 1751 nucleotides long. Lineage: Eukaryota; Metazoa; Chordata; Mammalia; Artiodactyla; Cervidae. The record is from RefSeq and is a predicted model, not a curated record.
UUCUUCACAAGCUUUGAACAAGAGGUUCUGCGUUUCCACUUUGCACUCGGCCCUGUAAAUUAUGCAGCAGGUUUCCAUGAAGGGCUACAGCUUUAUUUGGAGCUGGAAGAGCAGAGGUCAGCCUCAGGAAGGAGACCUGAAUGAGGGUCACUGUCGUCGCAACCUCAUGCGGGAGCAUUGACUGCCAACGGAAAGAGCUUAAGAGGGUUUCGCCAUUGCAGCCGGGCAUCUUCAGUAACAGCCAGGGGAGAAAUGUUGAUCUCAGUGAGGGGACUGUAAGGCUCGGAGGAACAUCUGAGGGAAGAGGUUCAGAAGACACCCCGGUGUGAGCUGGUGAUGGAAGUCAGCCUUAGCUCUCUAUUUCCUUGUUUUCAUUAGCUUGGGUUACACACCGAGACUUUUUUGAAUGCCCUUUUUGGGAGCAUGAAAUUGAUGCCUGAGAAUAAAACAUAAGUACCUCGGGUAUUUCAGUCAAGACAGAGAAAUGCAAAGUUGAGACUCUCAGGACAGACUCUGGGAGACCCACGUUACUGCACCUUUAUUGUCACCUGCAUUUUCACGGCAACCUUGGGAUCUGCCUGUGGCCAGCAGAGCUUGAGAUCCAUAUCUGGAAUUUGUCAGGAUCAUUUCAUGUGUCAGCAGGGGAGGAGCUGCCUGAGACCCAAUAUAAAGGAUGCACCGUUCUGAUGGGAUGUGAUAGCUGUUUUUUUCCAUUUCAAUUGAGGUCAAAAAGUUGAGUAUUGGCAUCUUCACCUGGUUCAAACAAACAGAGCUACCUUCAUCUAAAAAUACAUUUCAAAUUGUUACCUAAAAAUAGAAAUAUUGGGUUUGUGUAUAUACUGCUGUGAGCCAUUGGCCUGAAUAGACUGCUUUCAACAUGGAGGUUUGGACUAUUUUCCAAACAUUAGCUAUUCAAAAGCUCUCCCUCAAAGAAUGAGAAGACUAUUUAUUGGAAGCAUAAAUGAAGAAAGAAAAGACUUCAAUUUAUGAAGCCAUUAGUCUUCAGGGAGACAUUUUAAAGACUGCAAUUAAGGAGAACGCCUCACCACAAACUGCUGGAGAGACUCUCCCUUCAACUUCUGAAGAGCUUCGUCACUCGGGGUGAAAGGGCUCUUCCCCAGUGAUGAGUCAUGACUUUUCUUGGAUUGGCUCUGGGAAGGAUGAUCAUCACAUGAUGUGUGUCUCUAACCAGCUGAGCAACUGUGUCCUUCCUCACAGAGGGUCCUUCCUCUCCUCUCUCUCAACGUGAGCUGCUAAGGCUUCCUGCUUCUCUGCCUCUUUCUCAUCCCAUCAAAAAGAUGCCCGUUGGGGGCACCAUUCCAUCCAGUGCCCGCUUCCUAAGACAGCCGCUAAGACCUGAAACUGAUUCCAGCUGAUGCGAUACAAGUCAGAUCCCUGAUUCAAAUCCAACCCGAAAAGACUCAGAGAGGGCUUCUGAAGCUUCUGCCAAAAAAGGAGUGAAAACUGCACAGAAACCCCUUUGCCCUUGCAGUUCAGUCCUGCAGACGUCUGACUUGAGCCACUAUAAUGUCAUUUUCACAUAGAAUUAAAUGCUUUUACAUACCGGUGGGGACACAUCUCCCUUCUUAAUGUUCUCUUUUAUCCCAUUAAUGAAAGCCCAUUUUUUACAAGCACAUGAAAAGCAUGAGUAAGUCAUAUAAAAAUUUUAAGCUAAAAAUGAGUAUUCCAUUUAACAUAAGUACCGCGUGCUAACUGAUUGCGCCACUGGAACUUCUCCAUUUAAUAUAGAA